UACGAAGGGUGCAAGCGUUACUCGGAAUUACUGGGCGUAAAGCGUGCGUAGGUGGUUUGUUAAGUCUGAUGUGAAAGUCCUGGGCUCAACCUGGGAAUUGCAUUGGAUACUGGCAGGCUAGAGUGCGGUAGAGGGUAGUGGAAUUCCCGGUGUAGCAGUGAAAUGCGUAGAGAUCGGGAGGAACACCAGUGGCGAAGGCGACUACCUGGACCAGCACUGACACUGAGGCACGAAAGCGUGGGGAGCAAACAGG
Molecule: ribosomal RNA, 253 nt
Filed under: uncultured bacterium
Lineage: Bacteria
Description: partial 16S ribosomal RNA
Rfam family: Bacterial small subunit ribosomal RNA
Source: RNAcentral